GGAGGGAUCAUUAACACACAAAAAUGAUUGGGAAUUUUGAGGAGAGAUCCUCUAUUCCUGAUUGUUAGUCCAUUUUGGGAUUGGUGACUUCUGUUGCCUCUCCUAAAACAACGUGCGAUGUUCAAGUCUUGUGACCAUGCAUGCCCACCUCGGUGGCGCUUUUGCGUGAUCGCAAGCAAACAAGAACACCAUUAAAUUCAUCGUGAAGAGAUAUUAUUUUUAUCGAGCGAGAAUGAAUCGCAUCGAGGACGCUUUGAUUAGUGCUCUCUUUGUAUUUUUUUCAAGCGAGAAAAUAAAAUAAAAUCAAAUUUAGAGAGAACUUUUAACAACGGAUAUCUUGGUUCUCGCAACGAUGACGAGCGCAGCGAAAUGCGAUACUUAGUGUGAAUUGCAGAAUUCAGUGAAUCAUCGAGACCUUGAACGCAAAUUGCACCUGCAAUCAUUUGCAGGUACACCUGUUUGAGUGCCAACACAACCAAUCACCAAAUCAAAAACACCGUGUGUGUUUUCACGAUGGUGAGAAUUGAGCGUCCAUAAUUCAUUUUUAUGGUCGCUUGAAAUAUCGAAUCGAUUGGUCGCUAAAAAUGAGAAAGUGUCCACCAUUUAAAUUCUUGAUUCCAAACCUGCGCGAUAGUAAUAUCGACUCGCUGUUAGUAAGAUCAAGGAAGGGUGAGAGUGUUUUUCUUGCGACCAUUCUUAAUGGAUGAAAUACAGCUAGUUCUGUAUUAAUUACUGUGACUCGUUAGCCGAGUUCAAUGGCCUCAAAUCAGGCGAGAAUACCCGCUGAACUUAAGCAUAUUAAUAAGCGGAGGAAAAGAAACUAACAAGGAUUCCCUCAGUAACUGCGAGUGAAGUGGGAAGAGCUCAAGCUUAAAAUCAAGGGCAAUCUAUGUCCUCGAAUUGUAGUUUUGUGAAUGACUCCAUGGUGAAGUCCUCGAUAUAAGUCCUCUGGAACGAGGUGCCAAAGAAGGUGAUAGCCCUGUGCAUGAUCGAGGGGUAAUCUUUAUCAGUAUGUUGUCAAUUCCUAGAGUCGGGUUGUUUGGGAGUACAGCCCAAAGUGGGAGGUAAAUUCCUUCUAAAGCUAAAUAAUGGCGAGAGACCGAUAGCGAACAAGUACCGUGAGGGAAAGAUGCAAAGAACUUUGAAAAGAGAGUUAAAAGUGCUUGAAAUUGUUAAAAGUGAAGCGAUUGAGCGCAGUACAUGCUGACCAUCAACUCAUUCAUUGUUGUGGUGUUGGAGUGGCGUUAUCGAGUGUCCCAAGUGGCAUCGUUGCGUUGUUUCCUGGCAUCAUUUCAGUGGAGCAUUUUGGUGGUUAGUGAGUCAACAUCAGUGAAGUAUUGAGUGGGAGAAUGGGGUGGAGGAGGUGACAUGCGGUCAGUCUCGGCUGAUUUAGUGUGUGUUAAACUCUGCUCAGAUACCAUUCAUUUCACUGAGGCAACCAAUGGUUGAUAACUGGCGCCUUUUUUGGCGGGGUAAGAGUGGGACUGUCGAGUGUAGACGGUGAGGACAGCAUGCUGUGCUUGUUGAUCUAUGUUUGUCAUUGCUUGCUCUCCACCGUUUUCCAGUUAGAGAUGUUGACCGAAUGUUCUCAAUCGUCCCGUCUUGAAACACGGACCAAGGAGUCUAACAUAUGUGCGAGUAAUUGAGUGACAAACUUAGAUGCGUAAUGAAAGUAAUAGGGUGGGAGUCUGAAAAGAUGCACCAUCGACCAAUUUUGAAAUUUUUGGAUAGAUUUGAGUUGUAGCAUAUAUGUUGGGACCCGAAAGAUUGCGAACUAUGCUUGCAUAGGGUGAAGCCAGGCGAAAGUCUGGUGGAGGCUCGUAGCGAUACUGACGUGCAAAUCGUUCGUCAAAUGUGGGUAUAGCGGCGAAAGACUAAUCGAGCAAUCUAGUAGCUGGUUUCCUC
This 1905-nucleotide unclassified non-coding RNA is filed under the name uncultured fungus. RNAcentral's name for it is "sequence contains 18S rRNA gene, ITS1, 5.8S rRNA gene, ITS2, 28S rRNA gene". The stretch from base 757 to 1905 matches the Rfam family "Eukaryotic large subunit ribosomal RNA", at positions 1 to 961 of the family's 3401-position model. Lineage: Eukaryota; Fungi. The record is from RNAcentral.